GCCUAUGGGGUAUGCUACCUUGAACAAGCCCAAUCCUGUCUGAUAUCGGAAGCUAAGCAGGGUCGGGCCUGGUUAGCACUUGGAUGGGAGACCACCUAGAAAGACUAGAUGCUGUAGGCG
RNAcentral lists this ribosomal RNA (120 nucleotides) under Pteropus alecto (black flying fox). The record is from RNAcentral. Lineage: Eukaryota; Metazoa; Chordata; Mammalia; Chiroptera; Pteropodidae.